GCUCUUAUAGUGUAAGUGAUUAACAUAUCCAACUGGAAAUUGGUAGGUCCGUGAUUCGAAUCUCGGCAAAGGCA
Molecule: transfer RNA, 74 nt
Filed under: Stegodyphus mimosarum
Lineage: Eukaryota; Metazoa; Arthropoda; Arachnida; Araneae; Eresidae
Rfam family: tRNA
About the family: Transfer RNA (tRNA) molecules are approximately 80 nucleotides in length. Their secondary structure includes four short double-helical elements and three loops (D, anti-codon, and T loops).
Source: Rfam by way of RNAcentral